AGGACGAACGCUGGCGGCGUGCUUAACACAUGCAAGUCGAGCGGUAAGGCCUUUCGGGGUACACGAGCGGCGAACGGGUGAGUAACACGUGGGUGAUCUGCCCUGCACUUCGGGAUGAGCCUGGGAAACUGGGUCUAAUACCGGAUAUGACCUCCUAUCGCAUGGUGGGUGGUGGAAAGAUUUAUCGGUGCAGGAUGGGCCCGCGGCCUAUCAGCUUGUUGGUGGGUAAUGGCCUACCAAGGCGACGACGGGUAGCCGACCUGAGGGGGUGACCGGCCACGACUGGGACUGAGACACGGCCCAGACUCCUACGGGAGGCAGCAGUGGGAAUAUUGCACAAUGGGACGAAAGCCUGAUGCAGCGACGCCGCGUGAGGAUGGACGGCCGUUCGGGUUGUAAACCUCUUUCAGCCGAGGACGAAGCGCAAGUGACGUACUGCGAGAAGAGCACCGGCUAACGACGUGACCAGCCAGCCGACGGUAAUCGUAGACGCGGCGUGGAC
This 502-nucleotide ribosomal RNA is filed under the name uncultured soil bacterium. RNAcentral's name for it is "bacterial SSU rRNA". It matches the Rfam family "Bacterial small subunit ribosomal RNA", at positions 26 to 545 of the family's 1533-position model. The record is from RNAcentral.